GUUCUUUUCACAGGUGUGGUGGGAAAAACAAAAGAUGAACCCAAAACUUUCUCUACCCUCAAAGGGUGCAUGCUCUGGUUUGAGAUCUAAUAUAUAAAUAUCCGCAGCCAGAAAAGCACCACAGAGUGCUCUGGGGGUCAGAGCAGGGAGGUGGCCUUAAGCCUCAAGCUACAGGAUGGGUUUAAAGCCUCAGAGAUUAGAGCAAAGGAACAGAAGAAUGAUAACCCAGAAAAAUCUCAUGUGCUGUCUACCUUAUUAGCAUAUCUCAUCCUACCAAAAAGACAUUAGAAUUUGUUUUCUUGUAAAUGAUAAUAAUAAUAGCAUUAUUAUCAUCUUUAUUAUUAUUCACUAUCAGUGUAGCCCUCCCAGCAAAAUAAAGUUAGGCAACAUUCCUUCAGUCCCUGAAAUGUGAUUUACAGGUAUACUCAAAUCCAGAGAGAAUCACGAACCCAGAAAGCAUGCAAAUUUUAGGCACCAGCUUCACCCUUGUCUUCAAAGUAAUCUUUUCUUCUGUUUUGUUGUGUCUUUUUUUUUUUAGGAAGAUUUGCCCUGAGCUAACAUCUGCUGCCAGUCCUCCUCUUUUUGCUGAGGAAGACUGGCCCUGAGCUAACAUCCAUGCCCAUCUUCCUCUACUUUAUAUGUGGGAUGCCUGCCACAGCAUGGCUUGCCAAGUGGUGCCAUGUCCGCACCCAGGAUCCAAACUGUCGAACCCCGGGCCGCCAAAGCGGAAAGUGCUCGCUUAACCACUGUGCCACCAGGGUGGCCCCUGUUUUGUUGUGUCUUUAUCAAGAUCUGCCAAAAAGUCAUUCAAGUGACCAGUUCACAUUCUUCUUCCUCUCUGUCUAGCAUCUAAAAGUACUAAAAUAAAACAUUGGAAUAAAUAAAAGGCAAAGAGACAGAAAGGAAGAAGAACAGAAACAAAGGACCAAGGCAAUUGUCCCUGCAAAAUUGAGAUCUGACUGACUUUUCUACUACCCAUCAUCGUUCAAUGUCAUUAAGUUGUACCCUGUGAUGUUACCUUAAAGCCAAAACAACUUGCCCACUCAUUCCUAACUUUUAACAACGGACAUAAUGCAGAUAUUCUCCACAAAACAAGUCAGGUGGAUGUCAGAACAGGCCUUGGAAGAUAUUGAAAACUGAGAGCUCAAUAGUGGAUCACUCUGGCAGCAGAUUAAAUGAGUAAUACAUGAGCAUCAAUUCCACAUACCUUUUCCAUUUAAAUUUCAGCACUGAAUCAAACAUCAGGCAACUGCGUGAGAUGAAGUAGGACCAAAGCAAGAAGGAAAUUAUAAUAAUGUAGCUUGUAAUACAACUUCAUUUCAAAUAACGUCUUUCAUAUAAACUGGUAUCCAAAAUGCUUUACCGAAUAAAAUAGUACAAGAAAGUGGACAGCAUCUGGUAUAAAUUACAGAAAACGGCAGUGCAAGGAUAUUAUAUGUGGGGCAAAUUAAAGCAUUCCAUCAUAAAGCCGACAGCAGUGGGAAAGAGCAUGAAGAGGUACGGCAAAGUGCAUAAUUUUAGAUGAGGAGCAUUUUUCUCCCCACUUAUGUUUUCCAAAAUGAAGUACUUACCAUUCUCUUUUAGUAGAAUAGUUUAAGCUGUGGAUUUUAUAAAGCUGAAUUUUUGGAUGCUUAGCUUGAAUAUUGCAAUCAAUCAGAAAGAAUGAGGGGUUCUGUGUGAAGAAUCAAACAUCCCCCAAAAUGGGCUGAGUGUCUAAAGUGGCAAGUCUACAGGUGGCAAAAUCAUCUUCCAGGCUAAUAUAGCACGGUAGUUUAGAGCAUAGGCAUUGUCAUCAGACGGAUCAGACCCAUGCCUUAACUCUGUCACUUAAGAUUUGUAUGGCCCUGGACAAUGUAUCACCUCUCUUUCCCUCAGUUUCCUCAUCUCUAAAAUGAGAAUUACUAUAAUAUCUAUUAACAAGAUUGUCAUAAAGAUUAAAUAAAAUUCAUAUGAAAUGUUUAGCAUGGGGUCAGUAGCACAGUCAUUUAAAAUGUUAGCUACUCUAAAUAUUAGGUAUGAAGAGAUCUGAGUCCCCACAGGAACUCCAGAACCACCUGUGAGGGCCUCUAGAUUUGUCAAAGCCCAGUGGUGUUCAGAUACAGUAGUCAGGAUUCACUUCAGAGCACUCCCCACUGGCACAUCCUCCUCCGGGGGUGCUACAGCAUUCAAGGGUGUGAAUCUCUGAAGUCACAUGACUUUUGGUUUAUAAUCAAGAAUCUGAAACAACAAAACUGAUACUCCUUAAAAUCUGGUAGAAAGGGGCCAGCCAGGUGGCGCAGCAGUUAAGUGCACACGUUCCGCUUCAGCAGCCUGGAGUUGGCCGGUUUGGAUCCUGGGUGCAGACACGGCACUGCUUGGCACACCAUGCUGUGGUAGGCGUCCCACAUAUAAAGUAGAGGAAGACGGGCAUAGAUGUAAGCUCAGGGCCAGUCUUCCUCAGAAAAAAGAGGAGGAUUGGCAGAUGUUAGCUCAGGGCUAAUCUUCCUCGAAAAAAAAAAAAUCUGGUAGAAGAUCCAGAGUCAGUCUUUUGUUAAGAGGUUCACGAGGGGAAGUUAGGGCACAUGAGCUUGUCUACUUAACAAGUGACUAUUGAGGUUAUAGAAUCAGAUUUCCCAGCUACACUGCUUCCUCCCUGCUCUUACUGACUCCCAAAAUUAUGGCUCUGUUGUGUGGCCUUGCUUGUUCCUCUCUGUCUUUGAUGACUUCCAGGAAUGUACUCCCUGUGAGAACCCACAGUGUCCACCAUUCCCCUGGUAUUAGUUACAUAUUGCUGCAUAACAAAGCAUCCCAAAACUUAGCACCUUAAAACAACAAAUAUUUAUUAUCAUGCAAUUUCUGAGGGCCAGGAAUCCAGGAGUAGCUAAGCUUUGUGUUUCUGGCUCAAGAUCUCUCACGAGCUCUCUGCAAAGUCAAGCUGCCAGCCAGGACUGCAGGAUCAUUUCAACGUUCACUCGUGUGGCUGUCGGCAGCAGAUUUCAGCUCCUCACCAUGUGGGUGUCUUCAAAGUACUGCUCAUGAUGUGUGAGCUGGUUUUCCCCAGAAUGAGGGAUCCAAGAAAGCGAGAGACCAAAGCAGAAGCUGCAUUGUCUUCUAUAACCUAAUCUCAGAAGUGACAUACUGUUUUACUUUGCAGUGUUCUAUUGGUCACACAGACCAACACUGGUACAAUGUGGAAAGGGUGUGAAUAGCAGGAGGCAGGGAGAUUUGGGCCCGUUUUGGAAGCUGACUACCACGCCCCUUUGUGGGUAACUGAUCUUCAGCCCCAGCCACUUGUGGACAUGCUUAGCCUGUUGAUGACUAGGAUCCAGUUUGUCUCUACGUUUCUGUUCUUACCAAGCUAAACUAUUGUAAACUACUGAAAGAUGCUAAAGUUUUCCUUUCUCAAAGCACAAGCCAAAACAUUUACCCUAUUACAUAUAACAUAAGUACUUUAAGGCUUUUAUCUGUUUGUUCUUCCGAGUAAACUGAAUAUGUUUAUUGAAGAGCAUUAGCUAUUAGAACUCAAGGAUCACAUCUCUGUAACUGAC
RNAcentral lists this long non-coding RNA (3527 nucleotides) under Equus caballus (horse). RNAcentral describes it as "lncRNA (ENSECAG00000059086.1)". The record is from RNAcentral. Lineage: Eukaryota; Metazoa; Chordata; Mammalia; Perissodactyla; Equidae.